CAAUUCCAGUAGCUCUGCCCCUCCCCUUGUCCUCCAGAGCAGUUGAUGCUCGUGACUCCAGCCAUUGCUAGCCCCUGGAGCUGCAGUAGCCCUGGUUGGUUCCAUUGCCUCUGCCUAAAGUACUUCAUCUAAAUCGGACUUCAGCUCUGAAGAUGCCGUCUGUUUCUUGCCAGGACGCUAAUACUGUAGAUAUAAGUUUUUCAGGUAGGCCCUGCUUUCUCGGCCCUGCUCUGGAGUAACUGGGACGAUCUUCAGUGAUCAACAGCCCAGAGAAUCCACUACAGCAGCACAGAGCAUGAGGUCCCCUCAGCCCCACAGCCAGCCCAGGUGUCUGGGGGAGGAUGCUGGGUUGCUCAUGUAUGGAGAGGAUCUAAACUCUGGACAGCUCCCUCAAGGU
Molecule: long non-coding RNA, 397 nt
Filed under: Homo sapiens (human)
Lineage: Eukaryota; Metazoa; Chordata; Mammalia; Primates; Hominidae
Description: HSALNT0152904
Source: RNAcentral